RNAcentral lists this ribosomal RNA (253 nucleotides) under uncultured bacterium. RNAcentral's name for it is "partial 16S ribosomal RNA". It matches the Rfam family "Bacterial small subunit ribosomal RNA", at positions 524 to 776 of the family's 1533-position model. The record is from RNAcentral.
UACGAGGGGUCCAAGCGUUGUUCGGAAUCACUGGGCGUAAAGCGGGUGUAGGUGGCUUUGUAAGUCACAUGUGAAAGCCCCGGGCUCAACCCGGGAAGUGCAUGUGAUACUGCAAAGCUUGAGUACGGGAGAGGAUGGCAGAAUUCCUGGUGUAGUGGUGAAAUACGUAGAUAUCAGGAGGAACUCCGGUGGCGAAGGCGGCCAUCUGGCCCAGUACUGACACUCAGACCCGAAAGCGUGGGUAGCAAACAGG